GCCAGGCACAGUGGGACUUGCCUGUAGUCCCAGCUACUCAGGAGGCUGACGUGGGAAGAUCACUUGAGCCCAGGAGUUCUGGGCUGUAGUGCACUAUGCCCAUUAGGUGUCCGCACUAAGUUCAGCAUCAAUAUGGUGACUGGGAGGGAGCAGGGGCCCACCAGGUUGCCUAAGGAGAGGUGAACCGGCCCAGGUCAGAAACAAAGCAGGUCAAAACUCCCAUGCUGAUCAGUAGUGGGAUGGCGCCUGUGAAUAGUUACUGCACUCCAGCCUGGGCAACAUGGCAAGACCCUGUCUCU
This is an unclassified non-coding RNA of Aotus nancymaae (Ma's night monkey), 299 nucleotides long. It matches the Rfam family "Metazoan signal recognition particle RNA". Rfam says of the family: The signal recognition particle (SRP) is a universally conserved ribonucleoprotein. It is involved in the co-translational targeting of proteins to membranes. NCBI's taxonomy places the organism in Eukaryota, Metazoa, Chordata, Mammalia, Primates, Aotidae. The record is from Ensembl.